This 427-nucleotide ribosomal RNA is filed under the name uncultured bacterium. RNAcentral describes it as "partial 16S ribosomal RNA". It matches the Rfam family "Bacterial small subunit ribosomal RNA", at positions 355 to 774 of the family's 1533-position model. The record is from RNAcentral.
UGGGGAAUAUUGCACAAUGGGCGCAAGCCUGAUGCAGCCAUGCCGCGUGUAUGAAGAAGGCCUUCGGGUUGUAAAGUACUUUCAGCGGGGAGGAAGGGAGUAAAGUUAAUACCUUUGCUCAUUGACGUUACCCGCAGAAGAAGCACCGGCUAACUCCGUGCCAGCAGCCGCGGUAAUACGGAGGGUGCAAGCGUUAAUCGGAAUUACUGGGCGUAAAGCGCACGCAGGCGGUUUGUUAAGUCAGAUGUGAAAUCCCCGAGCUCAACCUGGGAACUGCAUCUGAUACUGGCAAGCUUGAGUCUCGUAGAGGGGGGUAGAAUUCCAGGUGUAGCGGUGAAAUGCGUAGAGAUCUGGAGGAAUACCGGUGGCGAAGGCGGCCCCCUGGACGAAGACUGACGCUCAGGUGCGAAAGCGUGGGGAGCAAACA